GGCGAACGCUGGCGGCGUGCCUAAUACAUGCAAGUCGAACGAGAGCGACCGGUGCUUGCACUGGUCAAUCUAGUGGCGAACGGGUGAGUAACACGUGGGUAACCUGCCCAUCAGAGGGGGAUAACAGCCGGAAACGGAUGCUAAAACCGCAUAGGUCUUCGAGCCGCAUGGCUUGAAGAGGAAAAGAGGCGCAAGCUUCUGCUGAUGGAUGGACCCGCGGUGCAUUAGCUAGUUGGUGAGGUAACGGCUCACCAAGGCCGUGAUGCAUAGCCGACCUGCGAGGGUGAUCGGCCACAGUGGGACUGAGACACGGCCCAAACUCCUACGGGAGGCAGCAGUAGGGAAUCUUCCGCAAUGGGCGCAAGUCUGACGGAGCAACGCCGCGUGAGUGAAGAAGGUUUUCGGAUCGUAAAACUCUGUUGUUAGAGAAGAACACGUGCUAGAGUAACUGUUAGCGCCUUGACGGUAUCUAACCAGAAAGCCACGGCUAACUACGUG
This 498-nucleotide ribosomal RNA is filed under the name uncultured bacterium. RNAcentral's name for it is "partial 16S ribosomal RNA". It matches the Rfam family "Bacterial small subunit ribosomal RNA", at positions 28 to 507 of the family's 1533-position model. The record is from RNAcentral.